This 433-nucleotide ribosomal RNA is filed under the name uncultured bacterium. RNAcentral describes it as "partial 16S ribosomal RNA". It matches the Rfam family "Bacterial small subunit ribosomal RNA", at positions 29 to 507 of the family's 1533-position model. The record is from RNAcentral.
AACGAACGCUGGCGGCAUGCCUAACACAUGCAAGUCGAACGAGACCUUCGGGUCUAGUGGCGCACGGGUGCGUAACGCGUGGGAACCUGCCCUUAGGUUCGGAAUAACUCCCCGAAAGGGGUGCUAAUACCGGAUAAUGUCUUCGGACCAAAGAUUUAUCGCCUUUGGAUGGGCCCGCGUUGGAUUAGCUAGUUGGUAGGGUAAAAGCCUACCAAGGCGACGAUCCAUAGCUGGUCUGAGAGGAUGAUCGGCCACACUGGGACUGAGACACGGCCCGGACUCCUACGGGAGGCAGCAGUGGGGAAUAUUGGACAAUGGGCGAAAGCCUGAUCCAGCAAUGCCGCGUGAGUGAUGAAGGCCUUAGGGUUGUAAAGCUCUUUUACCCGGGAUGAUAAUGACAGUACCGGGAGAAUAAGCUCCGGCUAACUCCGUG